AUGCUUGUUUUCUUCUCGUUUUAGAACUCCAGCUUUCGCAUAAGGCAGGCACACCGCACACCUGCGCCGAGGGCCAACCACAAGCAUUUUAAAUUUCCCCUUGCUACAGUAGGGUCAGGGCGAAAGGGCGAAGCGACGGCGAGGUUGGGUUCCGGCGGCGAUUCCGCCGGUUCCCCUCCUCUCCGGCGGCCGGGCCGGCGCUGGAGAGGAUGGUGAACUGACGAAUCGUCGGCCGGAUGUAUAUAAGCUAGGUUUUUAUAGAUCUAGGCUUAGGUUUAGCUCGCUGUCGAGCUCGGCGGCGGAGCUUCUGCUUCCGGGAGUGGAUGCCGUGUUGGGGAUCCCUCGCCGGCGAAUAAGGAGUUUUUCUCCACUGCGGCGGAAGGUUGGUGAUGGAGCUACCGUCCAGUCUUGGUUGGUGGAGACGACGGCCAACCUUUUCUGCCUGCUGUUCCUCUGCCUUGGUCUCCUUGAUUCUAGUGACGGCAGCGACGGUGAGUCUGCUGGGAUCUGUGGAGCUCUGGCUGGGAGGAUUUUGUUGCCACUGGUUUUCUCCGGUGCUGCUGCUCUCGUUGGUGGCCCUCCGGUUGAAGAUUCAGCGUGGAGAGUUGUGGACCGGUUUACAAGGGAAGGGGCGAUGUUGGGGGGAAGGAUGGAGAAGCCUGACGACCGAUGGUCUCGUAUCGUGGAUUUCUUGCAGUUUACAUGCAGUCGGUUUCUUGAUCUGGGCGAGAGGUGAAGAUGGCUGAUCUGUGAACUGAACUGUGGCAACGCUGAUUGUUGAGCACCAGCGGUAAGACGGACUGAGCAUGAAGAAGAUGGACUUCUUUGUAAUUUCUGUUUUGGAUAGGGGUCCUUCUGGAAAAAAGGGAACCACUGCUCUUGUAACUGUUACCUUUUAAUAGAGUGCUUAUCCCUUCUCGCAAAAAAAAAAAGAAGAACUCCAGCUUUCGCGGCA
This is a long non-coding RNA of Panicum virgatum (switchgrass), 955 nucleotides long. RefSeq lists it as uncharacterized. The record is from RefSeq and is a predicted model, not a curated record. Lineage: Eukaryota; Viridiplantae; Streptophyta; Magnoliopsida; Poales; Poaceae. The transcript is spliced from 2 exons.